UUAGCACAUCUUUUUACCUUGAGAUUAUUCUGAGAUUAAAUACUCUUUGUAAUCGUUAUCAUUUUCCCCGAGUAACUGUAACAGAUUACAGUUACAUUUAUUUUGUAAUUAAAUUAUGUAAUUCUGUUACAUGUACCUAGUUACUCACCAACACUGUAUAUCGUAUACAUAUGGGUAAUCACUGUAAUGCAUACCACAGGACUGCUGCUGAAUCAAGGGUUAUUCCUUACAAAAAAUGGCCAGGGACUUGAGGAUGUGACUUGUCAGCUGGAGUGGAGGUAAACUGUUAAAGUAGAUUCAUCCAUCCUGCAUACUCCCAAUGAAAGGGAGGAUCACUAUAGCUAAAGUGGUCUCAUCCAUCUCCAAUGCCACUACUGGAUAAAAGCAGCACAUUUGAUAAAUGGGAAAGGAGCCCUUGUUGAAAAUAAGCAGCAGACAGUGCAAAGAGUGAUGAGAAAGGAGGUUACACAGCACCGCUUUGGUGAUGCAUCAGGAAACAACAUACAGUAAGGGAGUAGCGUCCAACUCUGUGUAUAUUGGGUUUACUUUCCUGGCGUUUUUAGGCUGGUGUAGUCAAAGUGUGUGUGAAAUCUGGCAACUGGUCUAUCAAUCUACCAUGCGGAAUGUUUUGGAGUCUCCAAAACGAGAAUUCAACCCUCAGAGGAAGCGUAAAGAGAAAUGGGUGUGCAUAAUUGCAGAAUGUCAGCAGGAACGGCUGGAGAUGUGCUCAGGGUUUUCAUCGAGGCAGCUGCCCAGACUUGCUACAUUCAGAAACAGCUGGUGCCGUCCAUCCAGCCCAGGCAAGCGCAGGUGGGCCUGUCACGACUGACCGCCCCAUCCCUGACCCAGCCUCCACCAUACGGCCCACAGCAGCCAGAGAGGAGGCUGUGCCAAAACUGUGUCACUCACAAAGACUGAAAUAAAAUGGAAGAUUUGGUACCCA
Cyprinus carpio (common carp) is the source of this 943-nucleotide long non-coding RNA. The record is from Ensembl. Lineage: Eukaryota; Metazoa; Chordata; Actinopteri; Cypriniformes; Cyprinidae.